This 248-nucleotide unclassified non-coding RNA is filed under the name rhizosphere metagenome. RNAcentral describes it as "partial ribosomal RNA internal transcribed spacer region". The record is from RNAcentral.
GUAGGUGAACCUGCGGAAGGAUCAUUACAAUUCAGUAGCCUGCUACUGGUCGGGAGUUGCUGUAAGUCCGCAUAGUUUAAUUACUGAUGAGCGGCAGGCACUCUGUCUGAACCCUUGUCUUUUGCGCACUCUUGUUUCCUCGGCGGGCUUGCCCGCCGAUUGGACAAAACUAUAACCUUUUUAAUUUUCAAUCAGCGUCUGAAAAAACUUAAUAAUUACAACUUUCAACAACGGAUCUCUUGGUUCUG